GAUGAACGCUAGCUACAGGCUUAACACAUGCAAGUCGAGGGGAAACGACAUCGAAAGCUUGCUUUUGAUGGGCGUCGACCGGCGCACGGGUGAGUAACGCGUAUCCAACCUGCCCACCACUUGGGGAUAACCUUGCGAAAGUAAGACUAAUACCCAAUGAUAUCCCACGAAGGCAUCCGAAUGGGAUUAAAGAUUUAUCGGUGAUGGAUGGGGAUGCGUCUGAUUAGCUUGUUGGCGGGGUAACGGCCCACCAAGGCAACGAUCAGUAGGGGUUCUGAGAGGAAGGUCCCCCCACAUUGGAACUGAGACACGGUCCAAACUCCUACGGGAGGCAGCAGUGAGGAAUAUUGGUCAAUGGGCGAGAGCCUGAACCAGCCAAGUAGCGUGCAGGACGACGGCCCUAUGGGUUGUAAACUGCUUUUAUAAGGGAAUAAAGUGGGUCACGUGUGACUUUUUGCAUGUACCUUAUGAAUAAGGACCGGCUAAUUCCGUG
Molecule: ribosomal RNA, 493 nt
Filed under: uncultured bacterium
Lineage: Bacteria
Description: bacterial SSU rRNA
Rfam family: Bacterial small subunit ribosomal RNA
Source: RNAcentral